GAUGAACGCUGGCGGCGUGCCUAAUACAUGCAAGUCGAGCGAACGGACGAGAAGCUUGCUUCUCUGAUGUUAGCGGCGGACGGGUGAGUAACACGUGGAUAACCUACCUAUAAGACUGGGAUAACUUCGGGAAACCGGAGCUAAUACCGGAUAAUAUUUUGAACCGCAUGGGUCAAAAGUGAAAGACGGUCUUGCUGUCACUUAUAGAUGGAUCCGCGCUGCAUUAGCUAGUUGGUAAGGUAACGGCUUACCAAGGCAACGAUGCAUAGCCGACCUGAGAGGGUGAUAGGCCACACUAGAACUGAGACACGGUACAGACUCCUACGGGAGGCAGCAGUAGGGAAUCUUACGCAAUGGGCGAAAGCCUGACGGAGCAACGCCGCGUGAGUGAUGAAGGUCUUCGGAUCGUAAAACUCUGUUAUUAGGGAAGAACAUAUGUGUAAGUAACUGUGCACAUCUUGACGGUACCUAAUCAGAAAGCCACGGCUAACUACGUG
Molecule: ribosomal RNA, 497 nt
Filed under: uncultured bacterium
Lineage: Bacteria
Description: partial 16S ribosomal RNA
Rfam family: Bacterial small subunit ribosomal RNA
Source: RNAcentral